RNAcentral lists this ribosomal RNA (438 nucleotides) under Sesamia poephaga. RNAcentral describes it as "partial 16S large subunit ribosomal RNA". The record is from RNAcentral. Lineage: Eukaryota; Metazoa; Arthropoda; Insecta; Lepidoptera; Noctuidae.
UUUAUAUUAAAGGGCUGCAGUAUAUUGACUGUACAAAGGUAGCAUAAUCAUUAGUCAUUUAAUUGAUGACUUGUAUGAAGGAUUGGAUGAAAUAUAAACUGUCUCUUAAUUAUUAUAUUUAGAACUUAAUUUUUUAAUUAAAAAGUUAAAAUAUAUUAAAAAGACGAGAAGACCCUAUAGAGUUUUAUGAAUUAAAUUAAUUAAGAUUAUUUGUAAGAUUAAAAUUAAAAUUAAUUUAUUUAUUUUGUUGGGGUGACAGAAAAAUAUAAUAAACUUUUUAUAUAUUUAAAACAUUAAUAAGUGAUUAAAUGAUCCAAUAUUAUUGAUUAUAAGAAAAAAUUACCUUAGGGAUAACAGCGUAAUUUUUUUUUUUAGUUCAUAUAAAAAAAAAAGUUUGCGACCUCGAUGUUGGAUUAAGAUAAAAUUUAAAUGCAGAAG